UUGGUAUUUGGUUAUGGUAUUAUAAUUUGAGCUGAGAUUAAUACACAUAAUAUUAUAGUGAGAUAAGAAGGGUUAUUUCUACUUUAGCGUGAAAAAUUGGGCUAUUGGAGAAAUCUAGACUCAGUAAUUUAAGUGUAUGAGUGGCUAAUGUGGAUGCCAGCAGCUGCGGUUAUAUCCUUGCUUGUUUAAAUUAAUUAUGGUUUUAUUAGAUGCGUAAUUUAAACGGUUUUCUACAGGCGUGUGUUGGGCAGUUAAAUGCUACAGGGCGUAUGUUGAUGAGUUAAGGCCGGGAUGUUUCUUAUCUAAGUAUGGUCAAAAACCGGGAUUUGGUACCCCGUUAUUCAUAAAGUAAAUCAAGUUUACCGGAUGACUAUGAGUUUGUUCUCUAAAGUUAAAUAACUAGGCGGUUUCUAGUAACUAACAGGGGAAUCUGGGGGUUAAAAGAUGUUCCACUAAAAUUUGUUCCUUAAUUUAAAUUUGCGUAUGUAUGGUUGUUUAUAAUCAAUAUGUGUAAAAUAUUGGUAAAAUUCUUAGAAGAAGGAAUUCAGAUUAUCAUGUAGCUAUAUUGAGGCUUUCCUGGAUUACAGUUGAAAAGACCCUUUAUCGAAAAAUUUUGUCAAAAUAAGGUUUAGAAGGCGGACUUGUUAGUAAAGUUUUCUUAUUUUGAAAGUUUGAAAAGGUCUAUAGAGGAGUACUAAUUGCCCGUCGCUCGCGGAGGAAUCUGAGAUAAGUCGUAACAAGGUAGCGGUAUCGGAAGGUGUUGCUAAAUCAAA
Molecule: non-coding RNA, 773 nt
Filed under: Modiolus nipponicus
Lineage: Eukaryota; Metazoa; Mollusca; Bivalvia; Mytilida; Modiolidae
Source: RNAcentral